GUAAGUGGCAUAGAUCUAUCACGA
Molecule: non-coding RNA, 24 nt
Filed under: Arabidopsis thaliana (thale cress)
Lineage: Eukaryota; Viridiplantae; Streptophyta; Magnoliopsida; Brassicales; Brassicaceae
Source: RNAcentral